Molecule: non-coding RNA, 151 nt
Filed under: uncultured Stenotrophomonas sp.
Lineage: Bacteria; Pseudomonadati; Pseudomonadota; Gammaproteobacteria; Lysobacterales; Lysobacteraceae
Description: FMN riboswitch (RFN element)
Rfam family: FMN riboswitch aptamer (RFN element)
About the family: The RFN element is a highly conserved domain that is found frequently in the 5'-untranslated regions of prokaryotic mRNAs that encode for flavin mononucleotide (FMN) biosynthesis and transport proteins. This element is a metabolite-dependent riboswitch that directly binds FMN in the absence of proteins.
Source: RNAcentral
CGUCUUCAGGGCGGGGUGCGAUUCCCCACCGGCGGUAGGUGCCCGACACGGCACGAGCCCGCGAGCGCUCCGGCAGGGUCAUCCCGGCAGGAGGUCAGCAGAUCCGGUCGGAUGCCGGAGCCGACGGUCAUAGUCCGGAUGAAAGAAGACG